CAGCCGCGGCCCCAGGGAGCAGCGCGUACUCCCAGGCUGCGCUCCGGGCGCCCCCCCCCUCCCCGGCCGCCAACAACUGAAUAAACACUCCCGAAGCGCUGGGAUCUGUCAAGGGCUGGGGCCGCAG
Molecule: non-coding RNA, 127 nt
Organism: Ailuropoda melanoleuca (giant panda)
Lineage: Eukaryota; Metazoa; Chordata; Mammalia; Carnivora; Ursidae
Source: Rfam